This 162-nucleotide ribosomal RNA is filed under the name Disa pillansii. Its description in RNAcentral is "5.8S ribosomal RNA". It matches the Rfam family "5.8S ribosomal RNA". Rfam says of the family: 5.8S ribosomal RNA (5.8S rRNA) is a component of the large subunit of the eukaryotic ribosome. It is transcribed by RNA polymerase I as part of the 45S precursor that also contains 18S and 28S rRNA. Functionally, it is thought that 5.8S rRNA may be involved in ribosome translocation. The record is from RNAcentral. Lineage: Eukaryota; Viridiplantae; Streptophyta; Magnoliopsida; Asparagales; Orchidaceae.
UAGGACUCUCGGCAAUGGAUAUCUCGGCUCUCGCAUCGAUGAAGAGCGCAGCGAAAUGCGAUACGUGGUGCGAAUUGCAGAAUCCCGUGAACCAUCGAGUCUUUGAACGCAAGUUGCGCCUGAGGCCAACUGGCCAAGGGCACGCCCGCCUGGGCGUCAAGC